This 426-nucleotide ribosomal RNA is filed under the name uncultured Chroococcales cyanobacterium. Its description in RNAcentral is "bacterial SSU rRNA". It matches the Rfam family "Bacterial small subunit ribosomal RNA", at positions 356 to 795 of the family's 1533-position model. Lineage: Bacteria; Bacillati; Cyanobacteriota; Cyanophyceae; Chroococcales. The record is from RNAcentral.
GGGGAAUUUUCCGCAAUGGGCGAAAGCCUGAUGGAGCAAUACCGCGUGAGGGAAGAAGGACCGUGGUUUGUAAACCUCUUUUCUCAAGGAAGAAAUCAAUGACGGUACUUGAGGAAUAAGCACCGGCUAACUCUGUGCCAGCAGCCGCGGUAAUACAGGGGGUGCAAGCGUUGUCCGGAAUGAUUGGGCGUAAAGCAUCUGUAGGCGGUUUUUCAAGUCAACUGUCAAAUCCCAGAGCUUAACUUUGGACAGGCAGUUGAGUACUUAAAGACUCGAGUAUGGUAGGGGUAGAGGGAAUUCCUAGUGGAGCGGUGAAAUGCACAGAGAUUAGGAAGAACACCAGUGGCGAAAGCGCUCUACUGGGCCAUGACUGACGCUGAGAGAUGAAAGUUGGGGGAGCGAAAAGGAUUAGAUACCCCUGUAGUC